GUAGAUGACGGCUGACAAUUUCCAUGUAAAGAUUAGCUCAAAAGGGAUCUUGUCAAGUGCUCACGAGCCAAAGCCAAUGCCUGAGAUAUGGUCUGUGGAUUACAGAACUUCUUGUUAGUGUCUUCUCACACGAGGUGAGAAGAAAAUUUUUGAAUGAGAAAAGUCGCAAGAAUAAAAAAAAUCACCUGUUCAGACAAGGGUGCAGCAGGAUCAACGCUGCUGGUGGCAACUUUUGAGGCAAUGACAUUACCAUCGGUCUCAAGAAUCAUCCUGCAAGUGGGAAUGAGAGAUUUAGCUCAAGCAUACCACAACGAAAGACAUAGGAAAAGCAUUAAGCUAUUCAGCUGGUUCCUGAUGCUCUCAUGAAGUCCAUUCAUGACAUAAACUUAACACAAUUGAUGACCUGAGUCAUUGGUGGACUUGCAAAGCAUAGAAAGCACAGAGCAUAAAGCAUUACAAUUGACGAGCAA
This is a long non-coding RNA of Beta vulgaris subsp. vulgaris (sugar beet), 470 nucleotides long. RefSeq lists it as uncharacterized. The transcript is spliced from 2 exons. The record is from RefSeq and is a predicted model, not a curated record. Lineage: Eukaryota; Viridiplantae; Streptophyta; Magnoliopsida; Caryophyllales; Amaranthaceae.